UAUGCCAGAGAUAGGGAGAAGGACAGCUGCUGAUGUAUUAAAUAUGUACAAACAGAAUAGAUAUAUCAAAAUUAAGUAGAAUCAUUUCUUUACCUAUAAUAGCUACAUACCUACUUAAGAAGUUUAGAUCAUAAUGCUCUGCUGCUUGUUGUAAUGUUACUUGCUUGUCUAUAACCAUGUCAUCUCAGCUUCCCUCACAUAUAUAAAGCUGCUUAAAGCCUGGUGAAUAUACAGUUAGAUGUUUCCGGAAAAUAUCUUGCUCAGAGGAUGAAAGCUGGUAUUUUCCUCUCUCAAUUAACAAAUCAGGAGACUAAGUAUCCUCACAGAACAUUAGAAACCAUUGGACUGUUGAAAUGCUAUGUUUUAAUGUGAGUAAUCAAUCACUUGUGAUAUUAAAUAGUCUGCAAGAUGAUUUACUAAAACAGAGCAUUAACCCUUGUGCCUACCAGAUUACAAGGUGAAAAAAUAUAAUCCUAUAUGCUGAUGAUUUAAUGCUGCAACAUAACAGCAUUGAUUAUCUAGGACUUUUUGUAAAGAGGAAGAUCAGCUACAAUAGCCCUCAUGUCUGCUUUGUGGGUGUUGCAAUCAAAACUCAUGGCAAAUCUGUAUUCAAAGUUGUUUGACAUUCUCAGUGUUUCUCUAAAUUACUUCGGAGUAUGUUUCCUCCAAAAUCGUUGUCAUGCACAUCAUUUUUAAAAUUUAGUCCAAAAUCAGUUUUUCCACCACUGGUCAGAAAUGCAAAUGUCCUUUCCGCACAAUUUUAACAUCACCCAAGUUAGCUGCUUACUGUACAUAUUUACCACAAUGUGGUACUAGGAUUUUAUUGCUCAUUCUGAAAUGAUUAAUGUUUCUUUAAAUAUGGGUCACUCACUGGAAGUCACUGUUUUGCAUUCAGGAGGGCUUCCACCAGAAAGUAGUGGAACACUCUGGUUCUGCCUGUGCUUCCCUCUGUGGUGAUCACAACAUCUCCUGCAUCAACAGUGCCUCCUUCCUUUGCAUUUGGAGAAAUGAAAGAUGCCACCUGUGUUCGCAAUGGGAUCUUCCACUAUUUAGCAAGUCUUUGCUGAAUGAGUCAUCAAAGCCGGCUGGUAUUGGCUGGCCUGGUGAGUACCCAAGGGAUUGCCUGGUAGAGGCUGCGAGGCCUUGCUUCAUUCACAGAAAUGUGAGGUUGCUAGCCAGCCCUUCCAUUCACACACUCUCAUUCACAUUUUGCAGUUUUGCUAGCGGCUUCUAAUGAAGAGAGCCAUUUGGGAGUGAUAGGGUUUUCUGGGCAAUUGAGACAAGUAAAAUUAGGCUAUGAUAUGCAUAUUUGCUGUUGCUAUGCUAGGAGGAUGAAGAGAGGAACAAAUACUGUGAGGAUGCUGUAGCAGGUUGGCAGUGUGAUGGUGAGAGGCUAUUCCACAGAUCACUAGAAACACUGACACUGUCAUUAUUCAUCACUGCGGGGAUAAGAGGUGCUGAUUUAAUUUAAUGGCAUAAAUAUAGUAAUUAAGUAACUGUAUUUAAGCUGUUUUGUUGUAUUCGAAUACUGUAGCCUUUAUUAAGGGAGAGAGAAGGAAUACCGCAGGACUUUUCCUUUAAAAUUUUCUGCAGUUAUUCGUCUGUUCAAAGAAGAAUGCUAUAUACUGCAUUUUUGUAUGUCUAAAAGAUGUUUUGAAAAGAAGGUCGGUUUAUAGAAAAGAGCUGUGUGGCUUGUGGUGAGCACUGUAUUUCACAAUGCUGUAUACACUCUGCAUUUUAAAAAGAACAAAAAAGAGAGAAAAAUGAAGUAACUGAUUUCUUCAUGUUUUUCUCCUCCCCCGGUCAAGUGCUUGUGGUUGAUAUUUAUGCUUAAUAAGAAUUGGUGUAUUCUUAUAUUCUUCACUGCAGGACAAUAGUGAAAUGAUGCAUGGACUUUUGACUAUUCCCCUUGCACUUCUCAGUUUUUCGGAAUUACAGCAAAUAUUCUAGGGAAUGGCAUAUCUAUUUCACAUUUUUUCUUCAGAGUGAAUAUCAGUGAUGAAAGAAAAAGCAUCUCUUAUGCCUGUUAUUGGACAUCAGAAAAAUACUCACUUCACACAUCGGUACUUUAUAUAAUCCUGCAUUAAAACAUAAGGUUGCUGUGAGGUAGGGGAGAAGGAUUGCUUUCUCUGUAAAAAAUUGGAAGUGAGAAUUUAUGUGAGAAAUAGCAUUGACACAAAAGCUUGUAAAAUCUGCUAGACUGCUUUUUGUGAAGGAAAAUAGUGUAUUUUCUUUAUUUCUGUCAUCUGUUUUUGAAAUGCUUAAAGGUAUUCUGAAAACCCUUUAAGGUAUCUGUGUUUUGCUUGUGGAAAGAGAAGGGAAUGUAUAUGUGUAUAUAUUAUCUAGAUAUUUGCUUUCUAAUUGUAUCUUCUUUAUAGAUUCACAAAUAUGUGAGGUGAAAGAACAGUUAAACAGAAGAAUAAAGUGUGGUGUUUUAUAAAGGCUGUUAAUUCUUUUUAAAGGUAAUUGCCUUUGGUAUGAAAAGGAGUGGAGGGGGGAGGGUGGAAUAAAGUGUUAGAAGGAAAUAUCUGUUUGAGAAGAGAGGAUAAGGAAAUUUGAGAAUUGAUUGGUGCUAGUGUGCUGUAAGUGGGUGGGUUUUUUAUUUUUUUUUAUUUUUAUUUUUAUUUUUUUUUGCUACAGGAAGUGAUUUGCAGUGCUCACUGAGCCUUUUGUUGAAAAGGGUCCUUCUCAUUUGUGUGAGUCAUGCUUCUGCUGUGAGCGAGUUGGCAGCUCUAAGCAGGACUGUGAUCUCUGUUAUAGAAAACUGUUACUUCACCUAACCUUAAAGUGGAACCACAAGAAAUAUCUUAAAAUUAUAUAUUUUUUGUUCUUCCUUAUAUUGUUUGCUUUUUUACCUCAAAAUCUUGUUCUCUGCCUGUGUUGCUAUGAAUCGCCUGCUAUGUUAGCACGGGCAUCUCCUGCAUUGGCAUCACAUUUGCCAGAACAUAUGC
Long non-coding RNA from Meleagris gallopavo (turkey), 2951 nucleotides. The record is from Ensembl. NCBI's taxonomy places the organism in Eukaryota, Metazoa, Chordata, Aves, Galliformes, Phasianidae.